GCAGUCGACGAGCUUCCGUUGAUGACGUGCUUGCACUGAUUUCAACAAUGAAGCGAGUGGCGAACUGGUGAGUAACACGUGGGGAAUCUGCCCAGAAGCAGGGGAUAACACUUGGAAACAGGUGCUAAUACCGUAUAACAACAAAAUCCGCAUGGAUUUUGUUUGAAAGGUGGCUUCGGCUAUCACUUCUGGAUGAUCCCGCGGCGUAUUAGUUAGUUGGUGAGGUAAAGGCCCACCAAGACGAUGAUACGUAGCCGACCUGAGAGGGUAAUCGGCCACAUUGGGACUGAGACACGGCCCAAACUCCUACGGGAGGCAGCAGUAGGGAAUCUUCCACAAUGGACGAAAGUCUGAUGGAGCAAUGCCGCGUGAGUGAAGAAGGGUUUCGGCUCGUAAAACUCUGUUGUUAAAGAAGAACACCUUUGAGAGUAACUGUUCAAGGGUUGACGGUAUUUAACCAGAAAGCCACGGCUAACUACGUGCCAGCAGCCGCGGUAAUACGUAGGUGGCAAGCGUUGUCCGGAUUUAUUGGGCGUAAAGCGAGCGCAGGCGGUUUUUUAAGUCUGAUGUGAAAGCCUUCGGCUUAACCGGAGAAGUGCAUCGGAAACUGAGAGACUUGAGUGCAGAAGAGGACAGUGGAACUCCAUGUGUAGCGGUGGAAUGCGUAGAUAUAUGGAAGAACACCAGUGGCGAAAGCGGCUGUCUAGUCUGUAACUGACGCUGAGGCUCGAAAGCAUGGGUAGCGAACAGGAUUAGAUACCCUGGUAGUCCAUGCCGUAACGAUGAGUGCUAAGUGUUGGAUGGUUUCCGCCCUUCAGUGCUGCAGCUAACGCAUAAGC
Molecule: ribosomal RNA, 839 nt
Filed under: Levilactobacillus brevis
Lineage: Bacteria; Bacillati; Bacillota; Bacilli; Lactobacillales; Lactobacillaceae
Description: bacterial SSU rRNA
Rfam family: Bacterial small subunit ribosomal RNA
Source: RNAcentral